RNAcentral lists this ribosomal RNA (255 nucleotides) under uncultured bacterium. RNAcentral describes it as "partial 16S ribosomal RNA". It matches the Rfam family "Bacterial small subunit ribosomal RNA", at positions 524 to 776 of the family's 1533-position model. The record is from RNAcentral.
UACGGAGGGUGCGAGCGUUGUCCGGAAUCACUGGGCGUAAAGGGCGCGUAGGCGGCUUCUCAAGCGUGUGGUGAAAGUCCGGGGCUCAACCCCGGAUCUGCCGUGCCGACUGUUGGGCUGGAGUACUGUAGGGGCAGGCGGAAUUCCGGGUGUAGCGGUGGAAUGCGUAGAGAUCCGGAGGAACACCUGUGGCGAAAGCGGCUCACUGGACCAUAACUGACGCUGAUGCAGCGAAAGCCUAGGGGAGCAAACAGG